This 77-nucleotide transfer RNA is filed under the name Coemansia sp. BCRC 34962. RNAcentral describes it as "tRNA-Leu". It matches the Rfam family "tRNA". From Rfam's summary of the family: Transfer RNA (tRNA) molecules are approximately 80 nucleotides in length. Their secondary structure includes four short double-helical elements and three loops (D, anti-codon, and T loops). Lineage: Eukaryota; Fungi; Kickxellomycota; Kickxellomycetes; Kickxellales; Kickxellaceae. RNAcentral also lists the same sequence under 1 other name. The record is from RNAcentral.
GAUGGCCGAGUGGUCUAAGGCGCUAGUUUCAGGUACUAGUCUCUUCGGAGGCGUGGGUUCGAGUCCCACUCUGAUCA